GUUCCUGUCCAACGUUAAUCGGGGCAGGGUGAGUCGACCCCUAAGGCGAGGCCGAAAGGCGUAGUCGAUGGGAAACAGGUUAAUAUUCCUGUACUUGGUGUUACUGCGAAGGGGGGACGGAGAAGGCUAUGUUGGCCGGGCGACGGUUGUCCCGGUUUAAGCGUGUAGGCUGGUUUUCCAGGCAAAUCCGGAAAAUCAAGGCUGAGGCGUGAUGACGAGGCACUACGGUGCUGAAGCAACAAAUGCCCUGCUUCCAGGAAAAGCCUCUAAGCAUCAGGUAACAUCAAAUCGUACCCCAAACCGACACAGGUGGUCAGGUAGAGAAUACCAAGGCGCUUGAGAGAACUCGGGUGAAGGAACUAGGCAAAAUGGUGCCGUAACUUCGGGAGAAGGCACGCUGAUAUGUAGGUGAAGUCCCUCGCGGAUGGAGCUGAAAUCAGUCGAAGAUACCAGCUGGCUGCAACUGUUUAUUAAAAACACAGCACUGUGCAAACACGAAAGUGGACGUAUACGGUGUGACGCCUGCCCGGUGCCGGAAGGUUAAUUGAUGGGGUUAGCGCAAGCGAAGCUCUUGAUCGAAGCCCCGGUAAACGGCGGCCGUAACUAUAACGGUCCUAAGGUAGCGAAAUUCCUUGUCGGGUAAGUUCCGACCUGCACGAAUGGCGUAAUGAUGGCCAGGCUGUCUCCACCCGAGACUCAGUGAAAUUGAACUCGCUGUGAAGAUGCAGUGUACCCGCGGCAAGACGGAAAGACCCCGUGAACCUUUACUAUAGCUUGACACUGAACAUUGAGCCUUGAUGUGUAGGAUAGGUGGGAGGCUUUGAAGUGUGGACGCCAGUCUGCAUGGAGCCGACCUUGAAAUACCACCCUUUAAUGUUUGAUGUUCUAACGUUGACCCGUAAUCCGGGUUGCGGACAGUGUCUGGUGGGUAGUUUGACUGGGGCGGUCUCCUCCUAAAGAGUAACGGAGGAGCACGAAGGUUGGCUAAUCCUGGUCGGACAUCAGGAGGUUAGUGCAAUGGCAUAAGCCAGCUUGACUGCGAGCGUGACGGCGCGAGCAGGUGCGAAAGCAGGUCAUAGUGAUCCGGUGGUUCUGAAUGGAAGGGCCAUCGCUCAACGGAUAAAAGGUACUCCGGGGAUAACAGGCUGAUACCGCCCAAGAGUUCAUAUCGACGGCGGUGUUUGGCACCUCGAUGUCGGCUCAUCACAUCCUGGGGCUGAAGUAGGUCCCAAGGGUAUGGCUGUUCGCCAUUUAAAGUGGUACGCGAGCUGGGUUUAGAACGUCGUGAGACAGUUCGGUCCCUAUCUGCCGUGGGCGCUGGAGAACUGAGGGGGGCUGCUCCUAGUACGAGAGGACCGGAGUGGACGCAUCACUGGUGUUCGGGUUGUCAUGCCAAUGGCACUGCCCGGUAGCUAAAUGCGGAAGAGAUAAGUGCUGAAAGCAUCUAAGCACGAAACUUGCCCCGAGAUGAGUUCUCCCUGACUCCUUGAGAGUCCUGAAGGAACGUUGAAGACGACGACGUUGAUAGGCCGGGUGUGUAAGCGCAGCGAUGCGUUGAGCUAACCGGUACUAAUGAACCGUGAGGCUUAACCUUACAACGCCGAAGCUGUU
Molecule: ribosomal RNA, 1611 nt
Filed under: Escherichia coli
Lineage: Bacteria; Pseudomonadati; Pseudomonadota; Gammaproteobacteria; Enterobacterales; Enterobacteriaceae
Description: partial 23S ribosomal RNA
Rfam family: Bacterial large subunit ribosomal RNA
Source: RNAcentral